Equus quagga is the source of this 2511-nucleotide long non-coding RNA. RefSeq lists it as uncharacterized. Lineage: Eukaryota; Metazoa; Chordata; Mammalia; Perissodactyla; Equidae. The transcript is spliced from 4 exons. The record is from RefSeq and is a predicted model, not a curated record.
CCACUCACUCUGGUCACAGGGGCGGCACAGCUGGCAGAUGGACAGAUGGUUCCAGUGCUCGUUGUACGAAUUUUCGGGACAUGUGGCACAAACUGUGUUCUGGCCACGGGUACAUUCAGCUGAGACAUGCGUGCCUAGGAUCUCUCCUGGGAGAUGGUGUCCAUCUUCCCUCCGAGGCAGCGAGGUGGACUGGAGGCCCCUGCAGACCCCUCCCUGUCUCAGCCUUCUUGGGGACGUCACCUCUUACCUGGGGGGCAGCGGGAGCAGCAGACCUGAUGCUUGGCCUCGUAGUACUCCUUUUCCUCAUCCUGGCAGAUCAAUGAAUUUUCACCCUUGUAUAUUCCCGUGCAUCUCCCCACAUUUCCUGCACCCCAAGAGUUUCCUGCAUGCCCUUUCUGGUCGAAGAUCCUUGCUUCACAGCUUCCUUGAAAUCUCACUGAUAUCCACUGGGCAACACCAGACCCGGCUGAGCGCCUCGUAGACUCGCAGAAUGUGUGGGAGCCGGCUCUUCUCCAGGCCUUCUUCAGAGGGGAUUGCUGAGACAGCCUUCUUCCCAGAGGCCCAGGAAGAAUCCAAAAAGGGGGUUGCUGGGAGUGGAUUCUUCUAAAUAUUCUUUUUGUCUCUCCUCUUCCCCACACUGCUCUUAGCCAACCGGUGCCCUGGGAAAGGGUCUGGUGAACACUGACAAAUGUGGACCUGAUGAGGGUCGACUUUCUCCAGAGUGUUUGCACUUUCACUGGGGACAACCUCUUAGUCCAGGCGUCUCAGCUGGCGUGAUUUUACUCCCCGGAGACAUUUGGCAAUAUCUGGAGGAGUUUCUGAUUGUCACAAUUCAGGGGGUACUAUUGGCAUCUAGUCAGUGGGGGCCAGGGAUAGGCACAGGAAUCCUGCCUUAGCCUGAAGGAGUAGACUGCCAGUGGUGAGCUUCUAAGCAUCCUGCAGUGACCGGGCUGGAGCGGCCGGGAGGGGUUUUCUGGUACAUCGUUUUAGGUUAAGGAGAAAUUCAUACGAUAUAAGUGCAGAGAAAAAGAUCACGGUUUUCCACAGUGGGCAGCCCAGUGUGGAGAGGCUAAUUAGUUCUAAGUGGUAAGAAUAAACUGACUGACUUUGAGUGACUCAUUUUUACCCUAGAAAGGAUAGAGACUGAAAUGGAAAAAGUGAAGGAAAUUUAGAUAAAUCAAUAGACCACAAAUUAAUGGGUUAUUAGAGGAAAUUAGGAUGCUUGAUGCUUUGGGGAUAUUUUCUCAUAGCACAUCACUCUCUGUCAAAGAUUAACCUUGGGUCUUACCCAAGAUGCCAAUUCUGCUGUCUUCUGCAGCGUGGGUCAACAUAUGGAGACCACUAGACAGUGGGGCCACCAAGACGAAUAAGCCUAGUGCUGGUCCUCAGAGAACUUGUGUUACAAUCUGCGCAUAUGUAAACACGCACAGAUGCACAGACACACCCCCCAGGAUAAUAACAGUACACAGCUGUAAGUGCUGCUGUCAAGUACACAAGGCUCUUGCCGGGAGCGUGGAGGAGAAAGUGAAUCCUUCCGUGGUCCCCUGUUCCCCAGAGAGCAAAAGGCAGGAAGACCCUUUGAACCCAUAACCCUCAUCCCUCUGGCUUCCCUUCUCUCCCUGGAGCCUCUGCACAGUUUAUGGCCACACCACAGGGUGAGAGGAUGGCUGGUGUUGGGCGGGGGGAGGCAGCCCCAGGUAGGAAAGAAGGGCUAGGGCUCUGGGAGAUGCGAGGGGUGAGAGGGGUUCCAAGACAAGCUCUCAAGGCCCUGGAUCCCCCACAGAACCGGACUCCACUUCUCUGGACCUCAGGGGAGCAGCACUGAGCUUGGAAAGGGGAGCCUCAGCUCUCAGUCUGGCCCCACCCCUAACCCCUGGGUGACUGUGGGCAAGUCACUGCCUCUCCGGCGGCCUCAGUUCCCUCAUGCGUUAAACAUGGGGCGAGAUGCAGAGUCAGAUGGAAAGGGCCUUUGCAACCUUCUGGGCUGCCUUACCCACCCCUCCUGCCCUUUCAUUUUUCAGAUGAGAGCACUGGGCCCAGAGCGGUAAAAUGCCUUUUUCAAAGUCACAUCGAUUAAAAGCAAAAAUGAAAGUCAUAGAAUAAUAUCUAUUACAUGGACCAUUUAUGAAAAAAGCAAUAAAUUUUGUUUUUUUAAAAAUACAUGUAAGUCUAUAAAAACACACAAAAAGAUACAGAUGGAUACAAGGAUUACAGUGGCUCCCCUGGGCCGAGGGGUGGGAGAGGAAUGGGACAAAGCGAGGCUUUUAUUGUGCUGUACACUUCUGUAGUGUUGGAAAAUUGUAUCGUGACAAACAGGUAUUUGGGUAUUAUUUCUGCACCUUAAAACAUAAUCUUUAAAAUGGAGCUCUGACAAAAGUGCAGUUCUUUGGGGGCCGGCCAGGUGGCAUAGUGGUUAAGUUCCUGCUCUCCGCUUCAGCGGCUCAGGGUUUGCCGGUUCAGAUCCUGGGCACAGACGUACACACGGCUCAUCAGGCCAUGCUGUGGUGGCGU